CAUGCGCUGGUUUCAUUUAAAAAAAUAAAAAAAAAAACAGUGGUGCUCGGACUUCGAAAUUUCGAACAUGCCGUUCAUUCGAUCGCACGAUAAAGGAUUUCUUCCUCAUAGGAUUCUUUUCCAAGUAUAGAUGCGCACCGGCGAAGCCGACGCCGACGCCGACGCCGACGCCGACGACACCGGCGCCGCCAAACGACUCCGUCACCGUUCGUUUACAGAAAUACACCCACGAGGAAAACGAACGUGGUAUUCCCAGAUGAGUAUGUACAAUUUUAAAGCUCGCCUCAAGAGAGCCUCUCGAUUUAUAUUCGAUAAAGUGAAACGUGAUAUAAUACUAUUUUGAAUUUUCGAUAAACCAUUGUCAGCGAAUACGAGAAUGUCUGAAGAUUUAUUAUCUAAAUGAUGAUAAUAUUUUUUCUUCCAUGAGAGAAAAUAAGAAGAUGAAGCUGUAAUAAC
This is a long non-coding RNA of Vespula vulgaris, 456 nucleotides long. RefSeq lists it as uncharacterized. Lineage: Eukaryota; Metazoa; Arthropoda; Insecta; Hymenoptera; Vespidae. The transcript has 3 exons. The record is from RefSeq and is a predicted model, not a curated record.